RNAcentral lists this ribosomal RNA (487 nucleotides) under uncultured beta proteobacterium. RNAcentral describes it as "bacterial SSU rRNA". It matches the Rfam family "Bacterial small subunit ribosomal RNA", at positions 9 to 491 of the family's 1533-position model. The record is from RNAcentral. Lineage: Bacteria; Pseudomonadati; Pseudomonadota; Betaproteobacteria.
GAGUUUGAUCAUGGCUCAGAUUGAACGCUGGCGGAAUGCUUUACACAUGCAAGUCGAACGGCAGCACGGGGGCAACCCUGGUGGCGAGUGGCGAACGGGUGAGUAAUACAUCGGAACGUGCCCAGUCGUGGGGGAUAACGUAGCGAAAGCUACGCUAAUACCGCAUACGAACCCUGGUUGAAAGCGGGGGAUCGCAAGACCUCGCGCGAUUGGAGCGGCCGAUGGCAGAUUAGGUAGUUGGUGGGGUAAAGGCCUACCAAGCCGACGAUCUGUAGCUGGUCUGAGAGGACGACCAGCCACACUGGGACUGAGACACGGCCCAGGACUCCUACGGGAGGCAGCAGUGGGGAAUUUUGGACAAUGGGCGCAAGCCUGAUCCAGCCAUUCCGCGUGCAGGAUGAAGGCCCUCGGGUUGUAAACUGCUUUUGUACGGAACGAAAAGGCUCCUUCUAAUACAGGGGCUGAUGACGGUACCGUAAGAAUAAGC